CCGAUGAUAGCUCAGUUGGUAGAGCAUCUGACUGUAAUGUGAACACUGAUAUCAGGAGGCCCCCGGAUCGACCCCGGGUCGUCGGA
This is a transfer RNA of Rhizoclosmatium globosum, 86 nucleotides long. It matches the Rfam family "tRNA". From Rfam's summary of the family: Transfer RNA (tRNA) molecules are approximately 80 nucleotides in length. Their secondary structure includes four short double-helical elements and three loops (D, anti-codon, and T loops). Further hydrogen bonds mediate the characteristic L-shaped molecular structure. tRNAs have two regions of fundamental functional importance: the anti-codon, which is responsible for specific mRNA codon recognition, and the 3' end, to which the tRNAs corresponding amino acid is attached (by aminoacyl-tRNA synthetases). tRNAs cope with the degeneracy of the genetic code in two manners: having more than one tRNA (with a specific anti-codon) for a particular amino acid; and 'wobble' base-pairing, i.e. permitting non-standard base-pairing at the 3rd anti-codon position. NCBI's taxonomy places the organism in Eukaryota, Fungi, Chytridiomycota, Chytridiomycetes, Chytridiales, Chytriomycetaceae. The record is from Rfam.